GCCGUCUUAGCUCAGCUGGUAGAGCAACGCCAUGGUAAGGCGUAGGUCUCGGGUUCAAUUCCCGAAGACGGCUCCA
Molecule: transfer RNA, 76 nt
Filed under: Candidatus Magasanikiibacteriota bacterium
Lineage: Bacteria; Candidatus Magasanikiibacteriota
Description: Candidatus Magasanikbacteria bacterium tRNA-Thr
Rfam family: tRNA
About the family: Transfer RNA (tRNA) molecules are approximately 80 nucleotides in length. Their secondary structure includes four short double-helical elements and three loops (D, anti-codon, and T loops).
Source: RNAcentral